CACGUAGGGCGCAAGCGUUGUCCGGAAUUAUUGGGCGUAAAGAGCUCGUAGGCGGUCUGUUGCGUCUGCUGUGAAAACUCGGGGCUUAACCCCGAGCCUGCAGUGGAUACGGGCAGACUAGAGGUAGGUAGGGGAGAAUGGAAUUCCCGGUGUAGCGGUGAAAUGCGCAGAUAUCGGGAGGAACACCGAAGGCGAAGGCAGUGUCCUGGCGAGUAUCCUGACGCUGAGGUGCGAAAGCCAGGGGAGCGAACGGG
This 254-nucleotide ribosomal RNA is filed under the name uncultured bacterium. RNAcentral's name for it is "partial 16S ribosomal RNA". It matches the Rfam family "Bacterial small subunit ribosomal RNA", at positions 524 to 776 of the family's 1533-position model. The record is from RNAcentral.